RNAcentral lists this unclassified non-coding RNA (391 nucleotides) under soil metagenome. RNAcentral's name for it is "partial contains 5.8S ribosomal RNA, internal transcribed spacer 2, and large subunit ribosomal RNA". The stretch from base 1 to 122 matches the Rfam family "5.8S ribosomal RNA", at positions 35 to 154 of the family's 154-position model. The record is from RNAcentral.
GAUGAAGAACGCAGCGAAAUGCGAUACUUGGUGUGAAUUGCAGAAUCCCGUGAACCAUCGAGUCUUUGAACGCAAGUUGCGCCCGAAGCCAUUAGGCCGAGGGCACGCCUGCCUGGGCGUCACACGUCGUUGCCCCCCCAUCAACUCCUUCGGGAUUGCGGGGGGCGGAUGAUGGCCUCCCGUGCGCCUCGUCGCGCGGUUGGCAUAAAUGCCAAGUCCUCGGCGACGCACGCCACGACAAUCGGUGGUUGCGAAACCUCGGUUGCCCGUCGUGUGCGGUCGUCGCGCAUCGAGGGCUCGAAAAAAUUGCCGGGCUCCGGCUCGGCUUUCAACGCGACCCCAGGUCAGGCGGGGUUACCCGCUGAAUUUAAGCAUAUCAAUAAGCGGAGGA